GGGCCACUAGCUCAGUUGGUCAGAGCACCAGACUUAUAAACUGGCGGUCCUGAGUUCAAAUCUCAGGUGGCCCACCA
This 77-nucleotide transfer RNA is filed under the name Candidatus Peregrinibacteria bacterium. Its description in RNAcentral is "tRNA-Ile". It matches the Rfam family "tRNA". From Rfam's summary of the family: Transfer RNA (tRNA) molecules are approximately 80 nucleotides in length. Their secondary structure includes four short double-helical elements and three loops (D, anti-codon, and T loops). Further hydrogen bonds mediate the characteristic L-shaped molecular structure. tRNAs have two regions of fundamental functional importance: the anti-codon, which is responsible for specific mRNA codon recognition, and the 3' end, to which the tRNAs corresponding amino acid is attached (by aminoacyl-tRNA synthetases). tRNAs cope with the degeneracy of the genetic code in two manners: having more than one tRNA (with a specific anti-codon) for a particular amino acid; and 'wobble' base-pairing, i.e. permitting non-standard base-pairing at the 3rd anti-codon position. The record is from RNAcentral. Lineage: Bacteria; Candidatus Peregrinibacteriota.